Long non-coding RNA from Neopelma chrysocephalum (saffron-crested tyrant-manakin), 1987 nucleotides. RefSeq lists it as uncharacterized. The record is from RefSeq and is a predicted model, not a curated record. The transcript has 3 exons. Lineage: Eukaryota; Metazoa; Chordata; Aves; Passeriformes; Pipridae.
AGAAUCCCAGAAUGCUCUGGGUUGGAAGAGACCUAAAAGCUCAUCCAGUUUCACCCCUACCAAGGGCAGGGACACCUUCCACUAAAUCAGGUUGCUCCAAGCCCCAUCCAACCCAGCCUUGAACAUUUCCAGGGAUGGGAUGGGGAAGCACAGUUGGUUUGUGACUUACAGGAAGACCUUUGUGGGCCCGAGAGCUGGAACAGAAACAGCUACACCACUGCAGAAGCAUCUUAUAUCAAGCCCUUCCUAGGCAUGGGCAGGACCCCAGCAGCUUGCCAACAACGCGCUUCAAAGCCGCACGCCAGCGCUGGAUGAAACACCACCACCGCAGCAGGCCGGGGACUUUCCUCUUCCAAGCCGGCUUGAUGGAUGGGCAGCAGUGGAGACAGAAAUCUUCCUGUUAUACUCACAGGGCAGGUACUGAAUCAGCAACCAUGGUGGCUACACAAGCUGCACCUCUCUGAACAAGCCUGAGACAAAAAAGAAGUGUUUCAGUGUGUCCCUCAGCCUCUACAGCACUUCCCAGCUCCUACAGCCACCUCACCUCUCGCUGGUUAACAGGCUUCACUCUUUCAAAGAAGAAGGUUGAGCCUUCAUUGGUUCUUGAUGCAGAUGGGAAUAUGACUUGGCCAAGCUCUUGCCCCACCUGAUCCUCCAGGCCCUGCAUUUUCAGGGGCAAUCUGCUCCUCUGCCAAUAUCCUGGCACUCCCCACCCAUCCCACCUCAGGAGGAAGCAAGAACCACCUACGUUUGCCUAGAGAGCCACCCUGUAGGCAAAGGCUUGGUGGUCCUGGUGGCCAGGAAGGUAGCCAAGAAUCAGUGGCAUGGCCUUGCAGUGAAGACGCCCAAACAUACACUCAGUAGAAUUAACAAAAGUGCUGCCCAGAGGUCAAGGGGAGUGAUCUCUCUGCUCUGUUCAUCACUUGUGAGACCACAGAUGGAGCACUGUGUCUAAUUUGGGGUCUCCAGACAGACAUUGUCACUGUGGAGGCACACAGAGGGGAUGAGGGAGCUGGAGCACAUGAAGUGAGAAGAGAGGUUUGUUCAGCCCAGAGAUGAGGGUAUGAAGGGGGAAUGUCACUUUUUCAUCUAACUACCUAAUGAUUAAUUAUAGAGAAGAAGGGAGUUAGACUCUUCUCAGUGCACAAGAAACCAUGGACAGAAGUUACAGCAAAGCAAGUUUAGAUCAGAUGUAAGAAGAACAUUUUCAGUAAGAGGCUGGUCAAGCCUUGAAUCAUGAAGCCAGAGAGAUGCUGGGAUCUGUGUCCUUGGAGAUACUCAAAACUCAACCACACAAAGGCAUCAGCCUGUCCAAGAGUGGGAACUUGAAUCAGGAGUUUUCAAAGGUCCCUGCCACCAAAACCAUUCCCUGAAUCCAUGCUCUAGUUGUGCAGAUAUGGAGCCAAGGCACAGAGGAGAUGAAAUAAUACAACCACAGGUAUGCAGGGGACCUCUACCUGAGGUAGAGGCCAUGUCUCCAGAGAGCAACCUAAACCCCUACCCUCGUUGCUCUUGGGUAAAUUAAACCCAUCACUACAGUUGUGUCUGUGUGUGCUGGGGUUUCUGGGGUCAUCUGCUCCCCUGGUAGGAAGCUGCACUUCUCCUCCUGCAAAAAUUCUUUCAAUUUUUAAUUUUUUUCCAACUUCAGGGCCAAUUCUGCAACUCCAUCUUUGUGCUAGGACUGUCAGUGAAAGUGUCAACUGCGUGGCUGGUUUCUGUGAUGUGGAAUCAUGCCCACCAAGACUUGGACCAGGACUGUGCAGCCCAUUUCACAUAAGCCACCAACCAGCCCACACUUGGCAAAAGACUGAAGACAGUAUCAGCCAUGCCUGCAUGACUCCUGGCUUUGGGCCAUUUUUCUCCAGCCCUCCGAGCAGCCACGAUAUAAAUCUUGCUGUCCUUCCACUGGUCUUUGCUGUGACAACACAAUCACUUGGCUGCCCAUGCCAGCCCCCAUUGGGUGUUUGUCAGGGAUGCGUCAGUGGAA